GGGGGUGCACUGGCUUCGACGGGGGUCGCGAAAUCGCACGGCGCAUGCCGAGGGGGUGGCUUUCCUCGUUAAUCCAGCUGCAAAAACCCAGACGCCAACGACGACGUCUACGCUCUCGCCGCUUAAGGCGUAAGCCCCGAACCCACUUGUGCCCUUGCUCGUGGAUGUAGGGUCAUUAUCAAGGGAAUAGGCACCGGCGGCGACCCGCCAACCGGCGCCGAAACACAGCGGGUAUGGAUGACGGCGUGCUUCGCACGUUGUGUUGCCGGCAUCCGAGACCAAACAACGGGCUAAGCAUGUAGUGCCGGGCAUGGAGUGCCUUCGGACGGGGGUUCGAUUCCCCCCAUCUCCACCA
RNAcentral lists this transfer-messenger RNA (355 nucleotides) under Thermomonas aquatica. RNAcentral's name for it is "Standard tmRNA". It matches the Rfam family "transfer-messenger RNA". From Rfam's summary of the family: Bacterial tmRNA, also known as 10Sa RNA or SsrA, is named for its dual tRNA and mRNA-like properties. The record is from RNAcentral. Lineage: Bacteria; Pseudomonadati; Pseudomonadota; Gammaproteobacteria; Lysobacterales; Lysobacteraceae.